ACAAAAACACACAUGAUACUUAAAUAAGAGCAACCAGAUCACAUAAUACAAGCUCUAUCCAUUCCAAUACAGAAGACCAUACUGCUUUACAUGCUCUACAAGUGUAACAAGCUCUACAAUUGUAAUACUAACAAGCUCUACAAGUUCUUAAAUUCAGACUCCUAACAAGCUCUACUAGAUGAACAACAUGCCGGACUCGCUCGACGACCAUAGUCAGGGCUGGGAACAAACAAAACAACAACAUGGCUUCCACUGUCAUCAUGUUACAUGAAUCAGAGAAGAAUUAGAAUAACUGGGGAAAAUAUAUGUCGUAGCUAACAAAGUAAGAAACAAUAGUUAACAAGUCUGAGUCAUAGAAGCUAGAAGUGUCCCUUUGGAGAGACGAGAACUUAGAAUUGAUGCAUGGAUCUUAUUCUAAACAGCAUAAACACCAUGGCAAUAACAAAUUAACAGUAACAAGAUCAGUGUUAGCAGAAUUAAGUACAAGGCAAUCACGGGUACCAAUCCAGUGCAAGUUAAUAGAGAAAAUAUGUCAAAGUUAAUCAGAUUCACUAAUGUGUUUUUCAUACUACCAAAUUGAAGGUAAAAGAUGUGUACUGCAGUGUUAGCAGAAUUAAGUACAAGGCAAUCAUGGGUACCAAUCCAGUGUAAGUUAAUAGAGAAAAUAUGGCAAAGUUAAUCAGAUUCACUAAUGUGUUUUUCAUACUACCAAAUUGAAGGUAAAAGAUGUGUACUGAUUCAACACUGCAAACUGAUUUCUGAAAGCUUUACCAAAACAUUGUUUAGUCGCUUGGUGCUAAAGCGAUAGAUGUUGAACACUAAAUGCCAGCGAUAGUAACAACCAGCAGGUACUGCACCUGCGACCGCCAUCACUAGCUUGGAAGCAAUAAGCACAACAUAGGUAGGAUAGGAAUCAUCCUGGUUGUGUGUUCACGAAUCACCUAAUAGGUGUCGUGCCACAUAAUUGAUUUCCUGAACUCAGUAUGCCACACUUGUCUAUCCCAAAUCAGGGCUCAUGAAUCCUCAUCAAAGUGUGAAAUUUUAC
This 1045-nucleotide long non-coding RNA is filed under the name Triticum aestivum (bread wheat). RNAcentral's name for it is "long non-coding RNA (TAES_LNC008096)". Lineage: Eukaryota; Viridiplantae; Streptophyta; Magnoliopsida; Poales; Poaceae. The record is from RNAcentral.